Molecule: long non-coding RNA, 1148 nt
Filed under: Capra hircus (goat)
Lineage: Eukaryota; Metazoa; Chordata; Mammalia; Artiodactyla; Bovidae
Description: lncRNA (ENSCHIG00010023384.1)
Source: RNAcentral
AGGUGGGUUAUUUCCAUAGGAAUUUUCUCUCUCUCCCACUCUCUUUAUCCAACUAACUCCUAUUCACUAUUCAGGUCUCAAAUUAAAGACAACACUUCUGUGGGGCUUCUUUCCAGCUCCCUUGAGAUGGGGUCAGGUGCUUCUCUGCUGGGCUCCUUGGCAUCCUGCUGAGUACAUUUCACACCCUAAGGCUGCAGUGCCCAUUUGCCCAUCCAACCAAAGGCUCCACAUGGCAAGCACAGAGCCUGUCUCAGCCACUGCCGCACUGUCAGCUUUGGUUUAGCGCGUGCCAAGCGUGGGGUUUUCUGUUUGUGUGUCUCGUCAGCUCACCUGGCCACACAUUCCACUCAGGACAGUGGCCCAUGUGAUAAGGUUUUUCUUUAAAUGGGACACACUCUACCCCUAUGUUUGUCUUCUGUUUACAGGCUUACCUGUCAUCACUGAGAGCUCGAACCCCCAACAUCCCCUGCGUGCGUGCAUAUUUGAAUAUGAGUUCUCUGCUGUCUUUAACCAUCUUUUCUCCAGCCCACAGACUAAGAAACAGCUGAGAGCCCUGCAAAGGUCUCGGCCAGGGUAGUACCUGACCACUCCAUCUCUCCUCCCUUGACAUUUUCCCUCUUGCCAAAAUAUUGCAACAAGAACUUAGCACCACCAGGAGUGGCCUGACCAAGGCAGAAUAGAAGAGAAUUACCACAUCUAUUGUUUAGAACCGGAUGCCACUCAAAGGCACGCAGGACGUUAAUUCCCCCACCAAGGAUCAGACCUGUGCCCCUGCAGUGGAGGUGCUGUGUCUUAAUCACUGGACCACCAGGGAAGUCCCUUAGACCCUUACUCUUUUGUUAAUGCCAGGUUAGGCCCCUACGGAUUUACUGGAUGGAUGCACUGUGGAGAUUACGGCAGCUCUGCCGUGUUCAGCAGCUUGUGUGAAAAAGAUGUUUGGAUGAGGGUUCAUUCACAUCUCACCUUGACUUGAGAGCAUACAGUUGAUUUCACUGAUUAACAUUGGACGCAAGUAGAACAAUUUUCAUUUAGCCCUGUUUUAACAUUUGUUUGGUAAUUGGGUUUUUCAGAUGCUACUGUGAUCACAGAAACUUGCAUAUUAUGCGACGUUCCUGUGAAUUCAAGUGAAGCGGAAUCCUAUAUUACAU